AUGACGCCUUUCCCUCUCCUGGCCGUCCUCCUCCUCAUCUGCCUCGGGGCCCCGCGCGCCGCCGCCGCCGGCAACCCGCCGGACCAGCCCGCGACCCCGACCCCGACCCCGUGGCCGCACCAGUUCCACGCGAAGCUCCUGAUGGACAACAAGGGCAACCUGUCGCUGGCCGACCUGUGGUACGACUGGCCGGGAGGCCGGAACCUGCACGUGAUCCGCUACCAGCUGGCCGCCGACGCGCCCUACUACGACGCCGAGUGGAACAACGGCACCUCCUUCUUCUACACGCCGGCGCGCCGCGCCUGCCGCUCCGCCGCCGUCGGCGUCGGCAUCCUGCGCCCCGACUGGCUCGCCCCCGGCGCCGCCUACCUCGGCCGCGCCCAAGCCGACGGCUUCGACUGCCACGUCUGGGCCAAGGCCGACUUCAUCACCUACUACGAGGAUGCCCAGACCAGGCGCCCCGUCAAAUGGAUCUUCUACACAGGGCGGACGGCGCAUGUGAUGAGCUUCGAGCCGGGGGCGGUGCUGGAGGACGCGACGGAAUGGCAGGCGCCCGACUACUGCUUCGCCGCCGGGAACGACCUCGCCUCCGAGCUUGAUGAUGGGCGCGACGAUGCGGGCUUGGUCCCCAGGAUCAGAAUGCCGUUCGAAGGCUAG
Molecule: ribosomal RNA, 657 nt
Filed under: Triticum aestivum (bread wheat)
Lineage: Eukaryota; Viridiplantae; Streptophyta; Magnoliopsida; Poales; Poaceae
Description: partial small subunit ribosomal RNA
Source: RNAcentral